Molecule: long non-coding RNA, 522 nt
Filed under: Rattus norvegicus (Norway rat)
Lineage: Eukaryota; Metazoa; Chordata; Mammalia; Rodentia; Muridae
Description: long non-coding RNA NONRATT006890
Source: RNAcentral
GGAUGCGUAUGGAGGGAAGAUACACGCGGGGACCAGCCAGGGACCCGAGCACAGAUGGAAGUGGAGGGGUUCGGUCAUGUGUGGACAGUAGCGGGGCUCCAUGGAAUGGGUAGUACGAAGUCCCGGAGGAAGCAAGGCCCAGGAGAAGUAAGGGACCCACGAAGGGCACAGGCCAGCUGCUCUGGCUGGGGACAGCAGCGGGUCGCGCGCCAAGCAGAACGGGACCUUAAAGCUCGGCGAAAAUGCCCUCGGCGCCGCGGGGACGGACAAGAUGGGGGAGGUGCCCCCACAGUGCGCCAGCGGGGUGGGUUCAGCUCCCGAAGGAAAGCUCCGGCCUCCUCCCGGAGCUGGAGGGUGGAUUCGAGCUCGGGAAUUCGGGGUGGCCUGGAUCCCCGAAUGCUUUCAACUUUUUUUGUGGUAGUCUAGGGGUUCUUGGAGGCCUUGGUUAGAAAACUCUCCUUCCCGGCCGCUGCGCACACUCAGAACGCGGCGCGCUGCGUAAUCAAGCCGCAGCCCAGCCGC